This 341-nucleotide unclassified non-coding RNA is filed under the name soil metagenome. RNAcentral's name for it is "partial contains 5.8S ribosomal RNA, internal transcribed spacer 2, and large subunit ribosomal RNA". The stretch from base 1 to 120 matches the Rfam family "5.8S ribosomal RNA", at positions 35 to 154 of the family's 154-position model. The record is from RNAcentral.
GAUGAAGAACGUAGUGAAAUGCGAUAAGUAAUGUGAAUUGCAGAAUUCAGUGAAUCAUCGAAUCUUUGAACGCACAUUGCGCCCGCCAGUAUUCUGGCGGGCAUGCCUGUUCGAGCGUCAUUUCAACCAUCAAGCCCCCGGGCUUGUGUUGGGGACCUGCGGCUGCCCGCAGGCCCUGAAAACCAGUGGCGGGCUCGCUGUCACACCGAGCGUAGUAGCAUAUCAUCUCGCUCUGGGCGUGCUGCGGGUUCCGGCCGUUAAAGCCUUUUUUUUUUACCCAAGGUUGACCUCGGAUCAGGUAGGAAGACCCGCUGAACUUAAGCAUAUCAAUAAGCGGAGGA